GCGACGCGCACAAUCUCAAUCUAAAUCUAAAAUCAAUAUAUAAUCAGAAAAAUAAAUAAAUAAAUAAAUAUCCUCUUCUUCUCCCCCCAAAAUUAAAACCCUAAUAACCUUCGAAGCUCUCGCGGCAACACCACCGAUCUGAAUUUCCCCCUCAAAUCAAAGAAGAGAAGAAUGAGUAGACAUUCGAGCAGAACCGUGUAUGUUGGAAAUCUACCUGGCGAUAUCCGUGAAAGAGAAGUUGAAGAUUUGUUUAUGAAGUAUGGACACAUAACUCACAUUGACCUAAAGGUUCCGCCAAGGCCCCCCGGCUACGCAUUUGUUGAGUUUGAAGAUGUUCAAGAUGCCGAGGAUGCAAUUCGCGGUCGUGAUGGUUAUGAUUUUGAUGGGCACCGAUUACGGGUGGAGGCUGCACAUGGUGGUCGUGGCAAUUCAUCUUCAAGAGAUCGAUACAGCAGUCACAGCAAUGGCCGAGGUGGACGCGGGGUAUCCAGGCGCUCUGAAUAUCGUGUUAUAGUCAAUGGACUGCCCUCUUCUGCAUCCUGGCAGGAUCUUAAGGAUCACAUGCGAAAAGCCGGGGAUGUUUGCUUUUCCCAAGUUUUUCAUGAUGGAAGGGGUACUACUGGGAUUGUGGAUUACACAAACUACGAUGAUAUGAAAUAUGCUAUCAAAAAGCUUGAUGACUCUGAGUUCCGGAAUGCUUUUUCCAAGUCUUACGUUCGUGUGAGGGAAUAUGAUUCGAGGCGGGACUCUAGAAGUCCUGGUCGUGGGCCUUCUCAUUCUAGAGGAAGAAGCUAUAGCCGCAGUCGUAGUCGCAGCCGCAGCCAUAGCCGUAGCUACAGUCCAGGCCAUAGCAGAAGCAAAUCUCCUAAGGGUAAAUCCUCACAACGGUCACCAGCUAAAUCUCCAGCAAAAUCAGUUUCUCGCUCUCGCUCCAGAUCUAGAUCCCGUUCUUUAUCAGGAUUGGAAACUUGCGGCAUACUGGAAAUUGGAAAUUAGGGACUUGGUGGGAUUUGGUUCAAUUGCCUACAACUCAAUUUGUUGUGGAGGUAUGGUAUUUUUCAGAUGGGCGACUUUGGAUACCCUCAUAGUACAUUUGUUCUAAUACUUUUAGCAUGUAAAUGUCCGUGGGUGCUAGAUUGGGAAACAAAGAGAUCAAGGAUUGCCAUUUAGAGCUGGAUUUCUUGUGUUUAAAGGAAAUUAGGAUUUGGAAAUCUCCACCAAUGAGCACUAGGGCUAAUUUCAUUACAAUUGCGGGCUUCAAGAUUUGCCAAGCCAAUAGGGUGCACUAUCUGGAUUCUCUGGAUUUUACGGUGUAGGGGAAGAUUUCUGUUCUCCAGUCUGCUGGUGUCUUAAUGUUUAACCUUGGGAUUGUUUAUUUAUCAUUCAUUUUUCAUAUAUUAUUAUGCAUUUAAUGCCCAUACCAUUUCGUUCUUUGGCUUUCUCUCUGUUGGGCUGUUUUAUAUUUUAUGAUAUUUGUUUUUUUACCUCUCUUGGGUUUGCGAACCGUGACAUUGGAGAGGCAUCAAGGCUGUUGGAUCAAAUUUGAUAAGGGAACUUGUGGAUUUAUACUCUGUUAUUUGUGGAUCUUUUGCAGAUCACGGUCAAGGUCUAGGUCUCCAUUGCCUCUGCGUAAUAAAAGCCCCAAAAAGCGCAGUGCUAGCAGGAGUCCAAGUAGGAGCAGGAGCCGUAGCAAGAGUUUGUCCAGGUGAGUUCUGAUUGUUACUAGUGAAGGAGUGGAUGAUGGUCAGUGCGGCUACAAAGUUUUUUCUAGUAAUAUUUGACUUUGGCUGAGAAAUACUUAUUUGGGUUGAAGUUAUUUGAACUUUAAACUCUCUGGAUUGUUGUACUUGAUACCCGUGCCUUUGGGCAUCUUAAGUUAUGAGGAAUUUGAUGGACCUUGAUUUUAUGGUAGUAGACUGUUGAACUAUUUGGUUCCUUGUUUGGGUACACUUGGUAAUUGGUAUUGGCUUUAUUACAUCCUUAUAAAUAAAAAAUGUUUUGCAACA
This is an RNA transcript of Medicago truncatula (barrel medic), 2006 nucleotides long. It is a transcript of the gene named serine/arginine-rich-splicing factor SR34, with no coding region annotated. NCBI's taxonomy places the organism in Eukaryota, Viridiplantae, Streptophyta, Magnoliopsida, Fabales, Fabaceae. The transcript is spliced from 14 exons. The record is from RefSeq and is a predicted model, not a curated record.